GCAGCCUCUCCUAGAGAAGAGGAUUGGCGCGGAGCUGGGAGCCGGCCGCAGCUUUCAGAGACAUACAUUGCCCUUGCCUUAGUUCAUCUGUAUCUCCUCAAACCCACCCCAGAGAAUAAAGUGGACGAUUUAGUUUGACCUGCAUGAGACCAGCAGACCUGCUGUGUUCAGUGCAUACCUUUUGUGCAUGAGGUGCGGAAAUGUGCAGCUACAGUUCUCUUUUCCUGUAAAACUCUAAUUCACCUCCCUUCUGGUGUAGACUCAUCAGUCUUCCAUGGCAGACCCAUCAGCCUCCUGAUGAAGACUUGCACGGAACAUUGCAGUGAACUCCAGACCUUGGACUGAAUCCUUCAGUCUCCAAUGUGCAGACACCCUCUGCACGCUUCUUCAUCUAAGUCUGUGGCUGACCAUCGAAGGCAAUCUUGUAACUUCUUAUGCAUUUGUUUAUCUUGUGUUAUAUCUGUUUCUUUAAUAAAACUCUGAUUGAUA
Molecule: long non-coding RNA, 489 nt
Organism: Chinchilla lanigera (long-tailed chinchilla)
Lineage: Eukaryota; Metazoa; Chordata; Mammalia; Rodentia; Chinchillidae
Exons: 3
Source: RefSeq, a predicted model, not a curated record